This 1827-nucleotide ribosomal RNA is filed under the name Salmonella enterica subsp. enterica serovar Stanley. RNAcentral's name for it is "partial 23S ribosomal RNA". It matches the Rfam family "Bacterial large subunit ribosomal RNA", at positions 406 to 2215 of the family's 2925-position model. Lineage: Bacteria; Pseudomonadati; Pseudomonadota; Gammaproteobacteria; Enterobacterales; Enterobacteriaceae. The record is from RNAcentral.
CGAUGAGUAGGGCGGGACACGUGGUAUCCUGUCUGAAUAUGGGGGGACCAUCCUCCAAGGCUAAAUACUCCUGACUGACCGAUAGUGAACCAGUACCGUGAGGGAAAGGCGAAAAGAACCCCGGCGAGGGGAGUGAAAAAGAACCUGAAACCGUGUACGUACAAGCAGUGGGAGCACAGGUUUACCUGUGUGACUGCGUACCUUUUGUAUAAUGGGUCAGCGACUUAUAUUCUGUAGCAAGGUUAACCGUAUAGGGGAGCCGGAGGGAAACCGAGUCUUAACCGGGCGUUAAGUUGCAGGGUAUAGACCCGAAACCCGGUGAUCUAGCCAUGGGCAGGUUGAAGGUUGGGUAACACUAACUGGAGGACCGAACCGACUAAUGUUGAAAAAUUAGCGGAUGACCUGUGGCUGGGGGUGAAAGGCCAAUCAAACCGGGAGAUAGCUGGUUCUCCCCGAAAGCUAUUUAGGUAGCGCCUCGUGAAUUCAUCUCCGGGGGUAGAGCACUGUUUCGGCUAGGGGGCCAUCCCGGCUUACCAACCCGAUGCAAACUGCGAAUACCGGAGAAUGUUAUCACGGGAGACACACGGCGGGUGCUAACGUCCGUCGUGAAGAGGGAAACAACCCAGACCGCCAGCUAAGGUCCCAAAGUCAUGGUUAAGUGGGAAACGAUGUGGGAAGGCCCAGACAGCCAGGAUGUUGGCUUAGAAGCAGCCAUCAUUUAAAGAAAGCGUAAUAGCUCACUGGUCGAGUCGGCCUGCGCGGAAGAUGUAACGGGGCUAAACCAUGCACCGAAGCUGCGGCAGCGACACUGUGUGUUGUUGGGUAGGGGAGCGUUCUGUAAGCCUGUGAAGGUGUGUCGUGAGGCAUGCUGGAGGUAUCAGAAGUGCGAAUGCUGACAUAAGUAACGAUAAAGCGGGUGAAAAGCCCGCUCGCCGGAAGACCAAGGGUUCCUGUCCAACGUUAAUCGGGGCAGGGUGAGUCGACCCCUAAGGCGAGGCCGAAAGGCGUAGUCGAUGGGAAACGGGUUAAUAUUCCCGUACUUGGUGUUACUGCGAAGGGGGGACGGAGAAGGCUAUGUUGGCCGGGCGACGGUUGUCCCGGUUUAAGCGUGUAGGUGUGUGUUCCAGGUAAAUCCGGUUCACUUUAACACUGAGGCGUGACGACGAGGCACUACGGUGCUGAAGCAACAAAUGCCCUGCUUCCAGGAAAAGCCUCUAAGCAUCAGGUAACAUCAAAUCGUACCCCAAACCGACACAGGUGGUCAGGUAGAGAAUACCAAGGCGCUUGAGAGAACUCGGGUGAAGGAACUAGGCAAAAUGGUGCCGUAACUUCGGGAGAAGGCACGCUGACACGUAGGUGAAGUGAUUUACUCAUGGAGCUGAAGUCAGUCGAAGAUACCAGCUGGCUGCAACUGUUUAUUAAAAACACAGCACUGUGCAAACACGAAAGUGGACGUAUACGGUGUGACGCCUGCCCGGUGCCGGAAGGUUAAUUGAUGGGGUCAGCGCAAGCGAAGCUCCUGAUCGAAGCCCCGGUAAACGGCGGCCGUAACUAUAACGGUCCUAAGGUAGCGAAAUUCCUUGUCGGGUAAGUUCCGACCUGCACGAAUGGCGUAAUGAUGGCCAGGCUGUCUCCACCCGAGACUCAGUGAAAUUGAACUCGCUGUGAAGAUGCAGUGUACCCGCGGCAAGACGGAAAGACCCCGUGAACCUUUACUAUAGCUUGACACUGAACAUUGAGCCUUGAUGUGUAGGAUAGGUGGGAGGCUUUGAAGCGUGGACGCCAGUCUGCGUGGAGCCGACCUUGAAAUACCACCCUUUAAUGUUU